GAGUCUUCCUUCUCUGCGUGAGAUCCGAGAGAGAGCGAAGGGAAGGGUAGGGAGACAGCGGCGGAGGCAGCGGCGGUGGGAAACGAAGGCGGCGACGACGUCUUGCGAAGGAGACCGGUGGACUGACGCCAGGUAGAAAUCGACCGACGGGAGGGCUUUGCCCCUUUUCUCUUCACGGUGGGUGAGGCGAUGAAUAGGGAAGAGAACAAAGAAGAAAGGGAACGACCCUUCUUCUUCGGAGUGCGUGCCGUGCGACGAUCCUCCGUGCGUUCCGGCGUUUGCGGUGCAAAUGCUCUAGCAAAAUACAGAUGAGGAAAAGGCCGAAAAGGAAUCGGCGGGGGUCCGUCCAUAAACUGGAUCCCUCGACUUUAGCAACAGAGGCAAAGUCAGCCCUGCUCUGAUACCAAAGCUGAUGCAGGACGGAUGUAAGGGAUGGAAGGCAGCGUGAAAGAAUAGAAGAAGAGGGGAAGAAGAAGAAAAGAGGAGAGGGGGAGGAAGAAGAAGAAGGCUAAUUUUCUUGCAUUCAUUCCUUAAAAAUAAACAAAUGCAUGCCCUAUAUAUAUAUAGGGCCACCAAAUAACAAAUAAGUCCCAACGAAGAAAACAAUUCGAAAGAGGUCCUCAAAAGACAAUAUGCAAAUUAAUCCUACCCACAUAAAAUAAAUAAUAAAAAAUAACAUCAAUCAAUCCAGCCACAACGAAAGUGGCUGGACCGUCUUCCUGCGACAACCAUGAUUCCGCAAAAUAAUCAGUCCAGUACUCGUGUCCGCACCAGAAUUGCACCAUAUAGACCAAGUAAAAUGAAAUGGAGAAGUGAGAAACUACCUU
This 827-nucleotide long non-coding RNA is filed under the name Phoenix dactylifera (date palm). RNAcentral describes it as "long non-coding RNA (PDAC_LNC012706)". Lineage: Eukaryota; Viridiplantae; Streptophyta; Magnoliopsida; Arecales; Arecaceae. The record is from RNAcentral.